CUCUCCGAUGACGAUUAAAAAUUACUUUCGUUCUUCUGAAGCUGCAAUGUGGAAGAACAAUCUGGAGACCUGAACUGAGGAGAU
This 84-nucleotide small nucleolar RNA is filed under the name Zea mays. Its description in RNAcentral is "Small nucleolar RNA Z159/U59". It matches the Rfam family "Small nucleolar RNA Z159/U59". From Rfam's summary of the family: This family consists of several snoRNA Z159 or U59 sequences which are members of the C/D class of snoRNA which contain the C (UGAUGA) and D (CUGA) box motifs. This family seems to be found exclusively in rice. C/D box small nucleolar RNAs are known to act as a methylation guides for 18S ribosomal RNA in plants. The record is from Rfam by way of RNAcentral. Lineage: Eukaryota; Viridiplantae; Streptophyta; Magnoliopsida; Poales; Poaceae.